Molecule: long non-coding RNA, 1753 nt
Organism: Dreissena polymorpha
Lineage: Eukaryota; Metazoa; Mollusca; Bivalvia; Myida; Dreissenidae
Exons: 3
Source: RefSeq, a predicted model, not a curated record
AUGCGUAAAUAUUUUAAAAAAAUCAAUUGUACACCCCUGGUGUUCCUAUUUAUUGAAAAACCGUGAUAAACAAAUUGUGCAGCAAACAAAGAUUGGUAUAUACCAAGGAGCUAUAUAAUAAUCUAUUAUGUAUGUCCUUGGCAUUUCCUCCUUAAAACACUAAACAAUCAACUAGAACCUACAAUGUAAAAAUUUAGAACAGCCAACUGCUGCUACCUUCUCAAUUAUAAUUUUCACUGGCAUCAGCAAUGAUUUCUCCAUGUUGCAUACUGUACUUAGAUUUCACAAGGGCCAGGCAGCAUUUUUGUUUUAUUUUCCUUUGUGAGCAUUUAAAGUCAAAGUAAUUUCAAAUUACCAUAAUUGAGGAAUAAAUGCAAGGUAGGUCAGCGAUAAUUAUGUCACCCACCAAAACAUAUUAUUUAAUACCAUUGAUAUAACACUUUGAUAAUUUUACACUUGUAAGUAUAUAUUUUUUAAGUACCAAAAUACUAGGAUUAAAUUAAUUUGUAUAUUCCUAACUACUGUUUAAACGUCAUUUUAGUUAGCGACUGUCACGUCACCCACCGUACUCAAGGUAGCGACUAUCACGUCACCCACCGUACUCAAGAAGAGAAUAGAUAUCACGGUACCUGAACCACGUGACUUUUUCGGCUAUGUGUGGGACAAUCGGAUGUAAACAAAACGUCGCUUCAGACUUGAAAAGGAUUAGUCGAAAGAUCUGUAACGCUUUUAAGGUUCGAAGCUGUGUAAGAACUACAUGAACACCAUCAAACCACACGGAAGGUGAUAUGUGGCAAGUUAAAAAUCAAAACCACGGUGACAGAGACAGGGACCCCGCUUCAUUCUGUGAUGUUUAUGGAAAGCUAUUUCAACUAACUACGCAAACAUACCAUUUAACAUGUAUUUUUGCAUAAGCAAAACAAAGUGUGUGUAUUGAUAUGUGUGUAUAUUUAUCGGUUUUGUAUCUAUGUUAUUACUAAAAUUGAUUAGAUGAAUAUAAAAUCUGAUAAUGUGUGUUAAUAAAACAGGUGUUUCAUAACAAAUAAUUUAAAUCCAAUGAUGCGUGUUUGUGGUCUAUUCCAAUAUCAUCUCCAUUUGAACAUCUUCGAAUCCAAUAAUGCUUGUUUGUGGUCUAUUCCAAUAUAAUCUCCAUGAAUAUCUUCAGUAUAUCAAAAUAAACACGUCAUUAAUAAUACCAUUACUUUAUAACUAGCAUGCACAUGUAACAAUAGAAAUUAAAGCGCCAAAUACAUAAAGAAGUACAUUAGUAUUCACAAAGAAAUUGUAAUCAGUCAAUUUAUGAAUUUGCAAAUCUUGCUAUUCAAACAUAUGAAUGCUUCAAUUAAGUCAUAACAAAUGAUCAUCGCCAAAACGUCUUGACUUGUGGGGGUCAUUAUGCCAACAAACAUAUUGAAUUGCAUCAAUACUUAAUUUACUCAAAUUCAAAUGAAAGCUGAAUAACUGACAAUAGUUUGAGAUGUUUAAUGAAAAUACCCAUUCGCCCCGGUCAUGAAAGGGCGCUGCAAGAUCUUGUUACCACUGCACCAAGUAAUUAACAUUAAAUCAUAUAAUGUUGUUCAAUUUGUUGAAAUGUCAAAUUUUUAUGUAAUGUUUACUUUGAUUGUUUUCUUUCCCUGCAAUACUUGCACCAUCUGGUAAUAAAUCAAACAGUCAUUUAAACUUUGGAACAUUUACUAUACAUGUUUGUAUAUGACAACUUUUCAUUGAUCAAGAUAUCAGUACGUCUCUUGAA